UACGGAAGGGGCAAGCGUUGUUCGGAAUCAUUGGGCGUAAAGAGCGCGCAGGCGGUCGUUCAAGUCGAGUGUGAAAGCCCCCGGCUCAACUGGGGAGGGUCACUCGAUACUGAUCGACUCGAAGGCAGGAGAGGGAAGUGGAAUUCCCGGUGUAGUGGUGAAAUGCGUAGAUAUCGGGAGGAACACCAGUGGCGAAGGCGACUUCCUGGCCUGUUCUUGACGCUGAGGCGCGAAAGCUAGGGGAGCAAACGGG
RNAcentral lists this ribosomal RNA (253 nucleotides) under uncultured bacterium. RNAcentral's name for it is "partial 16S ribosomal RNA". It matches the Rfam family "Bacterial small subunit ribosomal RNA", at positions 524 to 776 of the family's 1533-position model. The record is from RNAcentral.